This 494-nucleotide ribosomal RNA is filed under the name uncultured bacterium. RNAcentral describes it as "partial 16S ribosomal RNA". It matches the Rfam family "Bacterial small subunit ribosomal RNA", at positions 29 to 506 of the family's 1533-position model. The record is from RNAcentral.
AUGAACGCUGGCGGCGUGCCUAAUACAUGCAAGUCGAGCGAACAGACGAGGAGCUUGCUCCUCUGACGUUAGCGGCGGACGGGUGAGUAACACGUGGAUAACCUACCUAUAAGACUGGGAUAACUUCGGGAAACCGGAGCUAAUACCGGAUAAUAUAUUGAACCGCAUGGUUCAAUAGUGAAAGACGGUUUUGCUGUCACUUAUAGAUGGAUCCGCGCCGCAUUAGCUAGUUGGUAAGGUAACGGCUUACCAAGGCAACGAUGCGUAGCGACCUGAGAGGGUGAUCGGCCACACUGGAACUGAGACACGGUCCAGACUCCUACGGGAGGCAGCAGUAGGGAAUCUUCCGCAAUGGGCGAAAGCCUGACGGAGCAACGCCGCGUGAGUGAUGAAGGUCUUCGGAUCGUAAAACUCUGUUAUUAGGGAAGAACAAAUGUGUAAGUAACUAUGCACGUCUUGACGGUACCUAAUCAGAAAGCCACGGCUAACUACGU